Molecule: long non-coding RNA, 1368 nt
Organism: Oncorhynchus nerka (sockeye salmon)
Lineage: Eukaryota; Metazoa; Chordata; Actinopteri; Salmoniformes; Salmonidae
Exons: 3
Source: RefSeq, a predicted model, not a curated record
UAAGGACUGACAAUGAGGGAAGCAGGACUUAGAUUGCAACCCAAUUUGAGCUGAUUUUCUGUGUCCACCAUAGUAAGGACAUUCAGAGAAGAGAACAGAAUUGCAAGGCUGCCACAUGCAGGUUGAAGGACAGCUAUAUUCACUCGGGAGCAAGAGGUCGUUAUAGUUGGCAUGGUCCUUCAAGAUAAUACAAUACGACUCAGAGAAAUCCAGGAACGAGUGAUACAAGACAACACACACUUCCAGGGAAUCGACAGUGUGAGCAUUUCCACAAUUGACCGUGUCCUCCAUCGUAACAGGAUGCGAAUGAAACAAGUAUACAGAGUACCAAGGUUGAAAGAACUGCGAGCUCAGUAUGUGCAAACAAUAUUUGACUUGGAAUCCUUGGACAGACCCCAUGAGUUCAUCUUUGUCGAUGAAGCAGGCUUCAAUCUAACAAAGAGGAGAAGGAGAGGUCGAAACAUGAUUGGACGGCGGGCCAUUGUUGAAGUCCCUGGUCAAUGAGGUGGCAAUGUCACAAUCUGUGCUGCUAUCAGCAACCAUGGUGUUCUACAUCACCAUGUUACACAUAUACUGUAACACCCAGCACCUUCUAAGAUUUAUUGCCAAUCUAAGAGAUAUUUUAUUUGAGCAGCAAGUUCAAGAGCAGCAGGGUCAAGAGCUAAAUGAGAAUCCCAUUCCCACCUAUGUGAUAGUGUGGGACAAUGUCCGUUUCCACCGAGCUGCUCAGGUAAGGGAAUGGUUUAAAAUCAAUGGGCAGUUUAUGAACUUGUCCCUCCAUACUCGCCUUUCCUGAAUCCGAUUGAGGAGUUUUUCUCCUCUUGGAGAUGGAAAGUGUAUGAUAGACAACCCUACACAGAGUAAUCUGCUGCAAGCCAUGGAUUUAGCCAGUGGUGAUAUAGGUGAGGAAUCAUGUCAGGGCUGGAUACGGCACACAAGAGGCUUCUUCCCCCGUUGCCUCAGGAGGGACAAUAUAGCUUGUGAUGUCAACGAAGUGCUCUGGCCUGACCCAGCCCAAAGACAAGAAGAAGCACAUUGAUCACAUGUUUACUCCUUUGAUUUUUGUCCCUUUUAGUAUUGUAUACUGUAGUACAGUGCAUUGUAGGCUGUAUACUGUACAAUGGACAAAUUGUAUGGCCCUGAACAUUGUGUUUUCCAUUUAUUAACAGUACUGACUGAUCAAUAGAUUUUGACUGGUUGCAGGUUCAUAUCAACAAAGAACAAGAAUUACAGUAUCACAGAGACAAAGGACAAGUUUGUGAGAUGCAGGGUACAGUACUGUAAAAAUAGGGGUACAAGGAGGAGGAAGGACAAAAAAACAAAAUUGCAAAGUGCAAAGCAGAGUAGUCAUUUCUGAUCAAUUUUGAG